GACGGAGGAUGCAAGUGUUAUCCGGAAUCACUGGGCGUAAAGCGUCUGUAGGUGGUUCAAUAAGUCAACUGUUAAAUCUUGAGGCUCAACUUCAAAAUCGCAGUCGAAACUAUUGGACUCGAGUAUAGUAGGGGUAAAGGGAAUUUCCAGUGGAGCGGUGAAAUGCGUAGAGAUUGGAAAGAACACCAAUGGCGAAAGCACUUUACUGGGCUAUUACUGACACUGAGAGACGAAAGCUAGGGGAGCGAAUGGG
This 253-nucleotide ribosomal RNA is filed under the name uncultured bacterium. RNAcentral's name for it is "partial 16S ribosomal RNA". It matches the Rfam family "Bacterial small subunit ribosomal RNA", at positions 524 to 776 of the family's 1533-position model. The record is from RNAcentral.